AGGGGAUGGGGGAUCGCAGGGGUGGCCUGGGGCAGUCUGGGCAAAUCUGGCCCCUCUGCCCCUUCCAG
MicroRNA precursor from Cavia aperea (Brazilian guinea pig), 68 nucleotides. The record is from Ensembl. NCBI's taxonomy places the organism in Eukaryota, Metazoa, Chordata, Mammalia, Rodentia, Caviidae.